Molecule: long non-coding RNA, 167 nt
Organism: Etheostoma cragini (Arkansas darter)
Lineage: Eukaryota; Metazoa; Chordata; Actinopteri; Perciformes; Percidae
Exons: 3
Source: RefSeq, a predicted model, not a curated record
AAACAGGCCAAGAGCUCAGACAGUGUGUUUCAGGUGGAGGUACAACAGCAAUUGGCAGUAUGAAAACAUGAGAUGUUUUUUGAACAUCAAAGCAUGUAAACCUAUUCUUGUAGACCCCAAGAGUACAAAUAUGACACUGAAAAAGAAGUAUAAAAUGGGCCCUUUAA